CAUCGGAUUAAAAACAGUUUGGACGCUUAGGAUUGCGCCACGUCAUCAGUUAACAGUACGCGGUUUGACCACGCGGAUGAACAGUAACACGGUUUGACCCAGGUGAACAGUGACGCGGUUUGGUUGAAAAUAAUCCUGUGUGAUGCAUGUACCGUACGCGCGAUUUUUUCGUCCACUGAUAUGCUGCCACGUCACCAUCAACAGUACAUAAGAAUUUUAGCCCAAUAGGAUCGUGACACCUCAUCAGUUAAUGCCACAUCAUCAGUCAAUGUCACGUCAUCGAUCCGUCUAUAUGAACAGUGUCAUGAACAGUAACGUAGACAGUACCGUACACGUGAAUAGUAACAUAGACAGUACCGUACACGUGAAUAGUACCGUACAUAUGAAUAGUACCAUUUUUCCUUUUAUGCUCUUCCUAAGGUUUUCGACCGUCCUGAGUUCAAAAGUGAUGUCUGUUUUGCCGUCUGAUCUCUCGUUUAUUGUGAAAUGAUCAUGAUACCCCUAAAAUACAUAAAAUACUUAAUUAAAAUAAAACACAUGUAAUUAAAUCACAAGAAGGUUAAAUACAUAAAAGUAAGGGUUGUUAAUAAGACUUGAAAUGUCAAAUGACAGUUUUCUCCUUUAUAAAUAUACAUUUUCUAACACUCAACACACCCCCCAACCAGCUUAUUACUAGUCCCUAGCAAAUAAAGCGAAAACGAAAUUCAAAUCCAAAAUGAUUUUUUUUUUUAAUAGAAACACUCGUGUUUAUUCAAUCAGAUUAAUUAUAGCAAUCAAAUAAAAGUAUAAGCAUUAUCUCCAGUCUAAAGAAAUAUCACACCCACAUCAACCAUCCACAUGAAUCAGCCCAGUAGACUUUGUUAUAGCUACUUUCAAGAAUGACAUGUCAAACCCUAAAAUCUCACUGGAAGUAGUGACACUCUCACAAAGAAAUUAAACCCAAUAAAAAUAGUCACUCCAAUGAAUGGUAAUUGAGAGAAAAUAAUAAAGAAGUGAUAUCACAUGCUCUCACCAAGAUGAAAGAAAUAUGCCCUCAGCUUAGAAAUAAUACAAUCUCAAGUCAAACAAAAAUGCUAGUCAACCCAUUUUAUUUAUCUUUUUUUCUUUUAUUAUUAUGCAUCACUACAUCUUUUUAGCCCAUAUAACUAGCUUCUACUUCAAACUAUAGUUCCCUAAAAUCAAGAAUGACUUUUAUUAGGACGUAACGUAGGCUAGGGACAUGGCUAAUACAGAAGGGAAAUAAGGAAAACAAAGUGUAUGUUUGAGAAAAAUGCAGAGAAUUUUUUUUUUUUUUGAAGUUACAAGGUGUAUUUCACCUAUUGUUGUUAUUUUUAUUCUUUUGAAACAACAACUUUUGUUUUGUUUUUUUUUUUUUUGCUUUUAUUUGGCAUAACUUCACUGAACAAAAUAAUUAUUUACAUUUUCUCAAACAUAAAUAGGUGAUGGAACUUAUAAGACAUCGGGUAAUACUCCAAAUCGGAGUGGGUCAAGAUGAUAAGUUGACAAAGAAAAGGUUUUUUUUUUUAAAGACUCAAAAGGGGUAACUAUGGAUAUUUAAUAAAAGGGUGGCUAGAAUGACUCAAACGGAUCAAACAUGGCAUUUCUAUCAUCUUUUAGGGCUCUAAAUAAUUAUCCAUAUCUACUAGUUAGAUGAGCCUCUCAAUGUAGCAACACACAUUUUUUUCUUUGUCUUUUUUUUAUUUUACAAUUUUUUUUAAGGGUUAACUCAAAAGAAAUCUAGAGGUCGUAUAUAAAAUAAUAAACUGCUAAGCUAUAUAAAGAAUGGGCAAAAGGGUUACUCUCCAAGAAAAAUGAUAGGCUCAAAAACUCAUUUGGCACUUAUUUAUGACAUGUUCAUUCCUUCAAGCAACUCAUAUUUGUCUCCGACAUCAACAUGUAAAGUAGCAAAUAUAGCGUAACAUCACUUAAGACCAAAGAUAAUACAAAUACUAAAAUUUGAAAUUAAUCAUGUCAUCCAAUGUUAAAACAAAUAAUACAACAAUUUUUUUUUAAACAACAUUCUACCCCCCAACCUAUUCUAAACAUGAAAGGAAAAUAUGCAUGCAGAAAUGUGAAAAUGAUGUAGAAAAAUUUAUUAGAAAAAGAAUUUUUUUUUUUUUAACUAAGAAGAUGCGUUUCUAGAGGUACGACACUCCAUAUUCAGCCAUCUUCGACUCAAAAAUUGAAAAAUAUAUAUUUAUAAAGGAGAAAGAGGAAGAAAACAGUUUUUUUUUUUUUUUAAACGAUGAAGAUGCGUUUCUAGAGUAACUACACUCCAUAUUCAGCCAUUUUCAACACAAAACGUUAGCAACAGUUAGUUUCUACAACAAAAAAUUAGUAAAAACUUAACCAAGAUUUCACAAUUGUCGACUAUUCCCUCCCCCAACCAGAACGAAACAUUGUCCUUAAUGUUUGAAAGGAAAGAAGUAGAGUUUAGAAGACAUCACCUGGGUGGUGCAACACAGAAGAAAAUAUUUACAGGCGGAGAGUUAAAUCUAAUUUGUACUUCUUACUGCGGCUACUGUUACCAUCAUUAUUUGGUCGCUCUAACACAAAGGUCCAGGGGUCUGGCUCCGGUUUAUAAGCUUGUAACAUAUCAAGUAGCUCAUUAGCAGUGUGAGCACAAAUAAAGAGUUUUUUCACAUUAGAAGGAAUGAAAUAGUUUUUUAUUGCAUGGUUAAGAAAUGCGAUAAAGCCAUCAUAAAAGUUAUUGACAUUUAACAAACCGAUGGGUUUCUGGUGGAUGUGCAGAUGGGCCCAAGAUGCUAGUGUGAUAAGUGCCUCUAGUGUUGCAAGAUCUCCUGGAAUGAAAAUAAAAGCAUCAGCAUGAUUAAGCAUUUCAGUUAUUCUUUCUUGCAUACCUGAGACGACUAACUCUUCUCCAGUUGAUGAGUCAGACGAACUGCCCAAUGGUUUUAGGACUCUUGGGAUGAUGCCUAACACUUGACUUCCUCUGAUAAAAGCUGCUUCUGAGACCAUUUUUGAUAACCCUCGGUUACCUCCUCCAUACACCAAAUGUAAAUUUCUCGCUGCUAUGCUUCGACCAAGAUUUAUGGCUGCCUCAACGAACUCUUUAUGUUUGCCAUAGGUAAAUCCAGAAAGCACACAAAUAUUCUUGAAUUGUCUAUUGGGAGUAGCUGCCAUUGGAAUAUUUCUCAAAAAUAAUUUGAGUGUUUGACAAAAGAAAUCACAUUUAAGAGUCUUGGUGAUAAUGGGUCACAGCUGUGAAUGAGGUAACAUGUCAGUGUCAAAUAACGCGUGAAGCACAUGGCUCGCGAGUCAAAAAGGAAACAGUAAAAAUGAAAAAACAAACAGUAAUAAAAUUAUUAAAGACAAUAAUGCAAAUAAUAAAACAACAGUGAAAUGAAAUAAAAUAAUAGUAAAGUAAAAGGAUAUUUACACGUAGUUGCGACUGUGGCUCACAUCUUCCUCUGGUUUUACGUCCAGAAACGGCUUGAACGCCCUCUAUGGGUCGAUGAUGGGCUUCCUAUCCAGUUUUCUUAUAAACUGGCAAACAAGGUCGUUUAUAGUCAGAUUCCCGAGACUAUACUGUGCAUGCUCUUUCUGGAAUAAUGGCCAUAACUGGAGAAUCGCUCCUUGCACAUAUCCAUUGGGAUGCGUUUCAAGAGACAGAAGGAUAUCAUCCAAUGACUCCUUAUUCAAGCCAUCCCUAAUGAAUUGAAUCUUAUCUUCUCUGUUAUCAGACACCAUUCCUGCCAAUCGUACUUUAGCCUCGAUUAACCAACGGAUGUCUGCAUGUAUGUUAUUCCUCAUGAGCAAUCGCAUGCGUUCAGACCGAGCUUUAUAGAUUGUAAGGAGGGCAUUUUGAGGAAGUGAAGGGAAUCGCUUGUGAAGCUUUGCUAGAAUCUCAUUUCUAUCCAUACCUUCGCCUCAGAAUAUCAGUUAUUAUGGGAAACUGAAGUAACCGACUUGAUUGUCAUGGAGUACCAUUAUCCGCCACUUCACCGGGGUAACAAACUAAAGCACAUAAACAGAAAAACAAAUUAAAACACACAAAGAAAAUUAAAAUCGUCCUCUUAUUGAAUUUACCUCAAGCUCCAACUGGAUGUCGUAAACACUUCUCUCAAUAUCUCUGAGUUGGCUUUCUAAACCCUCAACAUAGGCUACUAACUCUGGUGGUCGUAGAGCCCAAAUGCAAUGUGUUUUACAAAAUUGAAUCUGCAUUUUGAGAUGAGUUUUGACAUGUUGAAGUGGUUUAAGAAUGUUCAGGAGGAACGGUCUAAGUAUGGUACUCAUGAUUAAAAAUGAUAAGAGAAAACUUAAUAGUUAAACAAACACACUUAUGUAAAAAUAAUUUCAAUUAGCAAAAGAAUAAUAAAAAGAAAGAAAGAAAAAUCAAAUCAACGAAAAGAAAGAAAGAAAAAAAAAUCAAUUCAAAUCUAGUGGGUCACUCAAAUUUAUUUCGGUGUCUUCUCCAUGUGGUUGGUAUUCUAGAUAUGGCUUUAAUCUUUGACCAUUAACUUUAAACGUGACACCGUUCUUUGGGUCCUUAAUUUCAAUUGCCCCAUGUGGAAAAACAGUAUGAACAAUAAAUGGACCAGACCAUCGAGAGCGUAACUUACCUGGGAAUAGGUGCAAGCGAGAAUUGAAUAAAAGCACUUUCUGACCUGGAGUGAAAGAUUUUCUCAUAAUGUGCUUGUCAUGAAAGACUUUCAUUCGUUGCUUGUAAAUCUUGGCACUUUCGUAUGCAUCAUUGCGAAUUUCUUCAAGUUCUGCCAGUUGUAAUCUUCUUUCUGAGCUGGCUUGCUGCAUAUCAAAGUUGAAUUUCUUGAUGGCCUAAUAUGCACGAUGCUCGAGUUCCACAGGUAGGUGGCAAGCUUUUCCAUACACUAGCCUGUAGGGUGACAUCCCAAUCGGGGUCUUGAAAGCCGUUCUAUAUACCCAUAAUGCAUCAUCAAGUCUUAAUGACCAAUCUUUUCUAUUUAGUCUCACCGUCUUUUCUAAUAUGUGCUUUAUUUCUCGAUUGGAUAUCUCAACUUGACCACUGGUUUGCGGAUGAUACGGAGUCGCCACUUUGUGUGUGAUUGAAUACUUUGUCAAAAGAGCUUUGAAUGCUUUGUUACAAAAGUGGGCAUCACCAUCACUGAUUAUUGCUCGAGGGAAUCCAAAGCGUGAGACAAUGUUGCUUUUCAAAAAUCCUAUCACCACUUUGUGAUCAUUGGUCCUACAUGGAAUUGCUUCUACCCACUUCGAUACGUAGUCAAUGGCAACCAAUAUGUAUUGAUGGCCAAAAGAAGGGGGAAAGGGUCCCAUGAAGUCAAUACCUCAUACGUCAAAAAUCUCAACCACUAAAAUUGGAUUUAAUGGCAUCAUGUUCCUUCGUGUAAUGCUCCCCAUUCUUUGACACCUAUCACAUGAAGAACAGAAAGUGUAAGCGUCUCGAAAUAUAGUUGGCCAAUAGAAACCACAUUGUAAAACUUUAGUUGCUGUUUUCUUAGCACUGAAAUGGCCUCCACAAGCUUGUUCAUGGCAGAAUGAAAGAAUAUUCUGAAUUUCACUUUCUGGGACAUAUCGUCUAACAAUUUGGUCUGCACAAUACUUGAACAAAUAAGGGUCAUCCCAAAAGAAAUUCUUUAUUUCCGCAAAAAAAUUGGUCUUGUCUUGCUUGGUCCAAUGCUCUGGAAGUUUACCUGUAACAAGAUAAUUAAGUAUAUCAGCAUACCAAGGUAAUACUUCCACACUCAUUAAUUGUUCAUCUGGAAAUGACUCAUUUAAUGGUAAUGGUUCUGUAAUUGUGUCAAAGUGAAGACGAGAGAGAUGGUUCGCCACAACAUUUUCUGUGCCCUUUUUAUCUUUGAAUUCCAAGUCGAAUUCCUGCAAAAGUAAUACCCAACGAAUUAGUCUAGCUUUUGCAUCUUUCUUUGUGAGAAGAUAUUUAAGAGCAGCAUGAUCUAUGAACACAAUUAUUUUACAACCAAUGAGAUAAGAUCGAAAUUUCUCUAAUGCAAACACUACUGCUAGCAUUUCUUUUUCAGUAGUUGAAUAGUUCAACUGUGCAACAUUCAAUGUCAUACUAGCAUAGUAAAUAACGUGAGGAAUUCGAUCAACUAUUUGUCCUAACACUGCUCCUACUGCAUAAUCAGAUGCAUCACACAUGAGCUCAAAUGGUAAGCUCCAAUUUGGGGGCUGAAUGAUGGGUGAUGAUGUCAAUAAUUGUUUUAAUUUUUCAAACGCUACAAGACAUGAAUCAUUAAAGAUAAAAGGUACAUCCUUAGCAAGUAAAUUGAAUAAGGGUCUAGAAAUUUUGCUAAAAUCUUUAAUAAAACGUCGAUAGAAACCAGCAUGCCCAAGGAAAGAUCUUACUUCUCUGACUGUUUUGGGUGGAGGAAGAUUAGAAAUGAGAUCCACCUUGGCUUUGUCAACCUCAAUACCUUUGCUUGAAAUGAUGUGACCGAGAACAAUACCUUGUUUUACCAUAAAAUGGCACUUCUCCCAAUUUAAGACUAAAUUCUUCUCGAUACAUCUCUGCAGAACUAGCGUUAGAUGAUGUAAACAUUGAUCAAACGAGUCACCAAAGAUAGAAAAGUCAUCCAUAAAGACUUCAAGGAAUCGUUCAACCAUAUCAGAAAAAAUACUCAACAUGCAUCGUUGAAAUGUAGCCGGUGCAUUACAUAAUCCAAAUUGCAUUCUCCUAUAUGCAAAUGUGCCAAAAGGGCAAGUGAAAGUAGUUUUCUCUUGAUCUUUUGAUGCUAUGGGAAUCUGAUUAUAUCCUGAGUAGCCAUCUAGAAAGCAAUAAAAUUCAUGACCUGCCAAUCUAUCAAGCAUUUGAUCGAUAAAUGGUAAAGGAAAAUGGUCUUUACGUGUGACAGAAUUCAAUUUUCUAUAAUCAAUGCAUACACGCCAUCCUGUAGUUACUCUAGUUGGUAUCAAUUCAUUAUUUGCAUUCGUAACUACUGUGACUCCUGACUUUUUGGGGACAACUUGUACAGGACUGACCCAUGAACUAUCAGAAAUGGGGUAAAUGAUACCUGCAUCUAAUAGCUUAAGGACUUCAGUUCUAACAACGUCUUUCAUAUUAGGAUUUAACCGACGUUGCAUUCCCUAGUAGGUUUAGCAUUUUCAUCAAGGUGAAUAUAAUGCAUGCAAUCUACUGGGUUUAUCCCUUUUAUGUCCGCUAUGGUCCAUCCUAAUGCCCCUUUGUGCUCUUUUAAAACAUCCAACAACUUACCUUUUUGUUCGUCGUUUAGGGAUGAUGAGAUGAUUACUGGUAGAGUGCUUUCUUCUCCCAAAAACGCAUAUUCCAAACUGUUGGGCAAUGGUUUGAGCUUGAGUUUCGGUAGUGAAUCUGAUGAUAGAAUGAGUUUCUUCUCUGAUGGUGCUAGUUGUUCAACUCUUGAUUUCCAUUUAUUAGUGUCCAUGGAUGGUGCUGAGUCAAGUAGGGCGUUGACCUCAUCGACCGAUCUGUCAAUAUCAAAAUCCAAACCAAAGUGAGUUAAACAUAUUCGUAAAGGAUCAUCACUAAGGUUUGAAACAAAAGUGUCAUCAACUAAUGCUUCAAUUAAAUCCACAUCAACAAGUCCAUCAUCUGUAUUGUGAGUUGUUUGGCAAUGUUGAAGAUGUUCAGCUCCAUAGUCAUGUUGCCAAAGGACAACUACAUAUUUCCAGUCCUGCAUUGAAUGUGAGCAUCCGCAGUUGCCAAGAAAGGUCGGCCUAGAAUAAUGGGGAUGUGCUUCCUUGAAUCCUGUAUUGGUUGAGUGUCAAUUACAAUGAAAUCAACAUGAAAAUAAAACUUGUCUACCUGGAUAAGCACGUCCUCCACAAUACCACGAGGUAUUUUCGUGAACCGAUCUGCAAGCUGUAACACCACUGGAGUUGGGUGUAAUUCUCCAAGCCCAAAUUUCACAAACACAAAGUAAGGCAACAAAUUUACACUAGCUCCUAAAUCCAACAAAGCAUUCUCAAUUGUGUGGUUCCCUAUGCUACAUGAGAUAGUGGGGGAGCCUGGGUCUUUGCAUUUUAGAGCAAUUUUAUAUUGGAGUAAAGAACUAACGUUUUCUGUUAAAAAUGCCUUCUUUUGAACAUGCAUGUUUCUCUUUUUAGUACACAAAUCUUUAAGAAACUUGGCAUAAGAUGGAACUUGCUUUAUAGCAUCAAGUAAAGGGAUGUUAACACUUACCUGUUUGAAGAUUUCGAGAAUCUCACCUGUGGAUUUUCCCUUCUUUCCUUUCGCUAACCUUUGAGGAAAUGGAGCUUUCGGAACGUAUUCUCGUGGGUUGGUUUCUUUUUUCUCUUCCGGUGAUGAGUCCUCAACACUCACAGGUACAAUUUGAUUUUCUUUUGUCACCGGCAUCUCCACUUUGUUGUCGACUUCUUUUCCUUUUCGCAAGGUCAUUACUGCUUUGACCUCUCCAUGCUGUUGUGGUGAACUGGUACUUACUUCAUGCACUCCUUUAGGAUUAGGCACUGGUUGACUUGGAAACUUGCCUUUCUCAACAGUCAUUGCCAAGGUUUGAACUGAAGAAGCAAGUUGUCCCACCAUCUUCUCCAGGCUUGAAACUGAUUGAGCUUGUGAGUUGAAGCCUACUCUCAACUCAUUUCGUAGUCCAUCAAUGGUGCGGUUCUGUUGCUCAAUCGUGGAGUGAGUAACAUUCUUGAAAUUUUGAAAUGCAUCCUCCCAUGGUCUGGGUUGAGAGUAGUUCUGAUUCUGAUUGUAUGAUCUAAAUGGUGGCUGAGAGGCUUGAGGAACUUGAGGAAUUUGUUGCAUUGGUGGAGCUGGAGCUGCUGGUCCAUUCUGUUGGAAUCCUUGAGACCAUGAAAAAUUGGGGUGGUCUCUUCAUCCAGGGUUAUAUGUGUUGGAGUACGGGUUGUAAUUUGAUGGUUUUCUCAUUACACCUAUGGCAUUGGCUUGAUCUGAGUAUGAGUCAAGGUCAUGUGGCUCAAUUGAUUUAGCAGUCGAUAAUGAUGCUAUUUGUCGAGAGAGCACUUCAAUUAUCUCCUUAACUUCUUUAAUUUCUGAAGUUGACUCGCCAAUGUGAACCUCAUUCACUCCCUUAAUUCUUCUAGUAUUCCUGAGUGAUCGACUCUGUUGUUGGGAAUUAUCCGCUUGUCGCUGGAAGAAUUCCCAAAUCUCUGCACUUUUUGACAUUAGCUCUCCUGCACUUGUUUCCAUUAGCCAUUCUUGCACAUUUGGUAGUAAUCCCUCCAAAACGUAUUGGCAUUGGUGCCAUUUCUCAUACCCAUGAUGUGGACACUUCAAGAGUAACCCAUUGAAUCGCUCCCAUAUUUCGAAAAACUGCUCGUCCUCUCUUUGGGUAAACUCCGAGAUUUCCCUGCGAAUAGCAUUGGUUUUAUGCACUGGGAAAUAUUUGUUCAAAAAUUUCGUUACCAUUUGUUCCCAUGAUGAAAUGCUAUUAGUAGGUAAAGUAUUUAACCAUGAACGAAAAUGGGAAUAAUCUGAGUUUAACAUCAUCGUCUGAAAAUUUUUCAUAUUUAAAAGUUUGACAAAUGGCAUGAAAAUCAUUUAGAUGAUUAUAUGGGUCCUCAUUUUCUAGGCCAUAGAAUGUUGGGAGACAAUUUAGCACACUAGGUUUUAGUUCAAAACUCCUAGCAGCUACAUUUGGGUAUCUUAUGCAUGAUGUGCUCAAAUUAGCUAAAGGACUGAAGUAGUCCUUAAAUGGCCUCUCAUGUGGUUGCAAAUCCAUUUUAUUUUUAAAUUGUUUGUGUGUGCGAAGUGUUUUUUCUAGUUCAAGGUCUAUCAGUUCAAGAUUAGGUAAUAAUGACCUACGACCAUGCAUGCAAAACAAAUAAAAUAAAAUAAAAAUGGGAACAAAACAAAUAAAAAUAAAGAAGAGGGAGAAAUUAUGAUACUAACCUUAUUGCGCUAUUACAACCUUUCUAUAAAAAUACACAAAAAUAAAUACGUGAAAUAAAUUAACUAAAAAUUAAAUUAAUAAAAUAAACAAAAAAUUACAGAAGAAAAAAAAAUAAAUUGAAAAUUAAAUUACGGAAUUUUAAAGAAGAGAAAAAGAAAAGAAAUACUAACCUUUAUAUGUAGAUUCACUUUUUUUUUCUUUUUCUUUUUUUAAAAAAUACAAGAAAACAAUUAAAUGGAAAUAUUCAGAAAAAUUAAUUCUAUGAAUUAAAAUUACUUACCUCCCCGGCAACUGUGCCAAAAACUUGUUGUGCAAAUUUUAAUGAACUCGCAAGCGCACGAAUCUAUUGUAGUAUAGAUCAAUGGUGACGAGUGUCGAUCCCACGAGGAGGUGGAUUUUAAUUGUGUAUAGAAUUAAUUUUGUAAAUGGGUGAUUGGAUUUGUGGUGGAAAUGAUUUGAAAUAUGCUAAAACUUAAAUUAAAAUGGCGAGAAUAAAUUCUAAAAUUGGUAUUGAAAUGGCGAGAAUAAAUUGAAGAGAAUUCUAUUGAAAUGACGUACUUGGGUAUCUGGAUCCGUAUCAACAUGCAUCAUGGGUUAAAUAUUCCUUAUUAAUACCAAUUAAAUCAUGAGGGGGGAAUCCACACCUCAUGAACCACGCUCUAAUCAAUAUGGUGCUAAGGGCUUAUCGUGCCAAAUAAUAAUAACCUUAUACUAGAGAGUCGGUGUAACCAAGACGGUAUCUAGACAAGAUUACUAUUAUUUGUCGACGAAAAGUCAAAUCAUCCACAAAAAUUAGAGGGGAAAAAGAAAAUAAAUUUACCAAAUAAAGUUCAUGACACAUGUUGAGACUUCACCUUCAACCCAAGCUUCAAAGAAAAUUAGCCACUCAUAAUUGAACUAGGGGCAAAAUAGGAAUUUAUUAAAAUACAUAGAAAAUACAAGAAGGAGAAGAAAUUACAGAAAAUGGAUCCCAAAAAUGGAUUCAGAGAUAUCAAAUUAGGGGGGAGAGGCCCCCUUUUUAUAGAUACAUGGAGUAAAUCAUGGCCAUUGGAUUAAAAACAGUUUGGACGCUCAGGAUUGCGCUACGUCAUCAGUCAACAGUACGCGGUUUGACCACGCGGAUGAACAGUAACACAGUUUGACUUGGGUGACCAGUGACGCGGUUUGGUUGAAAAUAAUCAUGUGUGAUGCAUGUACUGUACGAGCGAUUUUUUCGUCCACUGAUAUGCUGCCACGUCACCAUCAACAGUACAUAAGAAUUUUAGCCCAAUAAGAUCGUGACACCUCAUCAGUCAAUGCCACAUCAUCAGUCAAUGCCACGUCAUCGAUCCGUCUAUGUGAACAGUGUCAUGAACAGUAACGUAGACAGUACCGUCCACGUGAAUAGUACCGUACAUGUGAACAGUGCCAUUUUUCCUUUUAUGCUCUUCCUAAGGUUUUCGACCGUCCUGAGUUCAAAAGUGAUGUCCGUUUUGCCGUCUGAUCUCUCGUUUAUUGUGAAAUGACCAUGAUACCCCUAAAAUACAUAAAAUUCUUAAUUAAAAUCAAACACAGAUAAUUAAAUUGCAAGAAACUUAAAUACAUAAAAGUAAGGGUUGUUAGUAAAAUUUGAAAUGUAAAAUGAUGAUUUUGUCCUUUAUAAAUAUACAUUUUCUAACACUCAACAGCCACAAAACAGGCUUUGAGACUUUGGUUAACCUUUGCAUGCCUUAGGAAUUUUUACAACGCUUGGGAAUCUGCUCGCCUUCGCUUGGUCGAGCAGAUCCUGGCACGCUUGGCUACUGGUCACGCCAUAAACAGGCUUUGAGACUUUGGUGAGCCUUUGCAUGCCUUAGGAAUUUUUACAACGUUUGGGAAUCUGCUCGCCUUCGCUUGGUCGAGCAGAUCCUGGCACGCUUGGCUUCGUGUCUCGCCAUAAAACAGGCUUUGAGACUUUGGAACCUUUGCAUGCCUUAGAAACUUUUUGGAACUUUGGUGGUCUGCUCACCUUCGCUUGGUUGAGCAAAUCCUGGCAUGCUUGGCUUCCUGUCUCGCCAUAAAACAGGCUUUGAGACUUUGGUUAGCCUUUGCAUGCCUUAGGAAUUUUUACAACGCUUGGGAGUCGGCUCGCCUUGGCUUGGUCGAGCAGAUCCUGGCACGCUUGGAUUCUGGUCUCGCCAUAAACAGACUUUGAGACUUUGGUUAGCCUUUGCAUGCCUUAGGAAUUUUUACAAGGCUUGGGAAUCUGCUCGCCUUCGCUUGGUUGAGCAGAUCCUGGCACGCUUGGCUUCUCGUCUCGCCAUAAACAGGCUUUGAGACUUUGGUGAGCCUUUGCAUGCCUUAGGAAUUUUUACAACGCUUGGGAAUCUGCUCGCCUUCGCUUGGUCGAGCAGAUCCUGGCACGCUUGGCUCCUGGUCUCGCCAUAAACAGGCUUUGAGACUAUGGUGAGCCUUUGCAUGCUUUAGGAAUUUUUACAACGCCUGGGAAUCUGCUCGCCUUCGCUUGGGCGAGCAGAUCCUGGCACGCUUGGCUUCCUGUCUCGCCAUAAAACAGGCUUUGAGACUUUGGAGCCUUUGCAUGCCUUAAAAACUUUUUGGAACUUUGGUGGUCUGCUCACCUUCGCUUGGUCGAACAGAUCCUGGCAUGCUUGGCUUCCUGUCUCGCCAUAAAACAGGCUUUGAGACUUUGGUUAGCCUUUGCAUGCCUUAGGAAUUUUUACAACGCUUGGGAGUCUGCUCGCCUUCGCUUGGUCGAGCAGAUCCUGGCACGCUUGGCUUCUGGUCUCGCCAUAAACAGGGUUUGAGACUUUGGUGAGCCUUUGCAUGCCUUAAGAAUUUUUACAACGCUUGGGAAUAUGCUCGCCUUCGCUUGGUCGAGCAAAUCCUGGCACGCUUGUCUUCCUGUCUAGCCAUAAAACUGGCUUUGAGACUUUGGAGCCUUUGCAUGCCUUAGAAACUUUUUGGAACUUUGCUGGUCUGCUCACCUUCGCUUGGUUGAGCAGAUCCCUGUGUGCUUGGCUUCCUGUCUCGCCAUAAAACAGGCUUUGAGACUUUGGUUAGCCUUUGCAUGCCUUAGGAAUUUUUACAACGCUUGGGAGUCUGCUCGCCUUCGCUUGGUCGAGCAGAUCCUGGCACGCUUGGCUUCUGGUCUCGCCAUAAACAGGCUUUGAGACUUUGGUGAGCCUUUGCAUGCCUUAAGAAUUUUUGCAACGCUUGGGAAUCUGCUCGCCUUCGCUUGGUCGAGCAAAUCCUGGCACGCUUGGCUUCCUGUCUAGCCAUAAAACAGGCUUUGAGACUUUGGAGCCUUUGCAUGCCUUAGAAACUUUUUAGAACUUUGCUGGUCUGCUCACCUUCGCUUGGUUGAGCAGAUCCUGGCACGCUUGGCUUCUUGUCUGCUCAACGCUAGCCUAGCUCUCUUUCCUUAAAUUAUUAUCAUAUUGAGUAACUUUCAAGAAAUCAAGUUAACUAAGUUAUACCGUCAGCCCUAAUAUGAGCACAAUCAAUUUAAUGAAUAUAAGGCAUCCUCAUAUCACAUAGCAGGAUUUAGAGAAAUAAUUAAAUUUUCAUGAAAAAAUUACUUGUAAAUAAAAAUUUAACUUCUGACAUGUUCUGAUUGCUACAAACGUGUGCCUUCAAUGUACUCUCAUUUAAGGUUUUUGCUUCCUUGUUUAAGCAAGCUCAUCCAUUUACGCACUGUAACAUUCUGAUUUGCUUCGACUAGAUGAAAAUUGAUAAAGACAAAAAAUUGGCUUCUCGUACCGAUCCCUACAGACGGCGCCAAAUGUUGAUGCCGAAAUCCGGAUAAGUUGGUCAGAUCUCAGAUCCCUGCAUCAUCAUUAAAUUUGUUUGGUGGGAAGCUGAUGAUUAGUUAGCACCAUGAGCAGAUUUUCUAUGAGCAGAUGUUCUGUAAGCAGACAACCCAUGAGCAGACAAUCCAUGAACAGACGAUCCAUGAGCAGAGAACUCAUGAGCAGACAAUCUAUGAGCAGAUAACCCGUGAGCAGACGAUCCAUGAGCAGAUAACCCAUGAGCAGACGAUUCAUGAGCAGACAACCCAUGAGCAGACGAUCCAUGAGCAGAUAACCUGUGAGCCUGUGAACACAACCAACAGUCAGGAGGUGCCGGAAGUUUUUCUGGCGAGAACCCUCCGACGCUCAAGUCAGCGAUUCGGGUCUUAUUUGGAAAAACUCAUACCACAAUUCAUGUGGCUUAAUUAUGAUUGCUUUAAACAAAAAGCUUUUAACUAAAUUUAAAGGAAAAGAAUUCAAAAUAAUCAAUCUUAAAGAAAUCACAGGCGAAAGAGAAAUUUCUUUGUGGUAGAGAGAGAAAAAGGUCCCAUGGGUUCAGUUGCUUAGAGAGAGAGAGAGAGAAAGAGAGAAAAAAGGUCCAUUUCCUCAGGUUUUUAUAGGAAAUUAUAGCGGUUUUUAUCAUCUCCCCUAGAAUUCUCAAGAAAACUAUUAAUUUUCAGCCCACUAAGAAUAUGGUCCCUAAUAUUUCGGAGAAAAUAUUUUGACUGAAUCAUGCUUUCUGGUAACUUUUUGGUCGAGGUGACCAAUAACAUCCUAGUCGAGGUGAUGUGCUCGAGGUCACCACAUAUUAUUCUGGUCAAGGUGAUGUGCUCGAGGGCACCACAUAUUAUUCUAGUCGAGGUGACCAAUAACAUCCUGGUCGAGGUGAUAUGCUCGAGGUCACCACAUAUUAUCUGGUCGAGAUGAUCUGCUCAACCAUUUGCUCACUUUUAUUUUAAGGAGAACACGAUAAUGUAUGAGCAAACACCUUUAUCUUGGUCACCUUAUUUCAUUCUCUAAACAAUUAGUAUUUUAAAUAAAUAAACUUAAGCAACUUAAAAUGCUUAAGGAUAUUUUUGAAAUUUUAAAGAGUGUAUAAAAUAAAACUACAAAACUUAUUUUUUUAUAAUUUGUGUAUGAGUAUGCAGAGUAAUAGAAUGUUCAAAGUAAUAUUUAGAGUAUAAAUAACCCUACCCUAAAGAAAUUUAUGUGUGGUAGGGCGCAAUACCUCAUAUUAUUAUUCUAAAAAAAUAUUGGUAAAAAAUUAUUUUUAACUUAGAUAUUAUUAUUUUUCAUUGCAAAUACUGAUUUGAAAGUAUACUAACAAGUAAAGUUGAUAUUAGAGAAACUUGUGUGGGCUAUGAGCACUUUGUCAGCAUGUGCUUGGUUGAUAAGUCUUUUGAUGAAUUUUCCACGUAUUAGAAUUACACUAACAACAAGAAAGCAAGAACUUAAAUAAGUAGUUUGGAAUCGACUUGAGGAUUUAGAUAAAGAAUCUCUUAUUUGAGAUGUGCUUCAAAGGAAAAAGAAUUUAGUUGUGUAAUGAUAAGAAUAUGUUUUUAAAAAGAUAAAAACAUGUUUAUCUAGUUGAUAUUAUAACAUUUAAAAAAAAAAUCAUGAAUUUCACU
Molecule: long non-coding RNA, 15228 nt
Filed under: Citrus x clementina
Lineage: Eukaryota; Viridiplantae; Streptophyta; Magnoliopsida; Sapindales; Rutaceae
Description: Citrus clementina (C. clementina) long non-coding RNA (CCLE_LNC002810)
Source: RNAcentral